Molecule: long non-coding RNA, 1864 nt
Organism: Gopherus agassizii (Agassiz's desert tortoise)
Lineage: Eukaryota; Metazoa; Chordata; Testudines; Testudinidae
Source: Ensembl
AUGCCCCGCAGCGCGCUCUGUGCCACUCUGUGCAGCCAGAGGUGGGUAGAGGAAGGCUUGUGGGCUGCAGCCUGGCAUGCCGUGACUCACCUCCCGAGGGCUGCGGCUGGCUGGGCUCUGAGCUGCCUCCUGUACUUCCUUCGCACCCUGACGAGCUUCCUGCUGCCCAGCAAGGGACCAGGCAGCCUGGCACCGCGGACAGAGCCCUGGGAGAGCAGCCCUGAGCAGAGGGUCUACUGGAGCCGAGGGGCAGGGCAGCCCCUCAUUACCGUCCAGACGGAUCCCUGUGCCUUCCAGCGCCGGCGGCACUUCAGCACAGCGGUGGUGGGACAGCGGAUUUAUGCCAUCGGGGGCUGGUAUCUGGACACGCUCCUGGCGCCGGACGGCGGCACGGCUCUGUACGCGGCUGUGGAGCGCUACGACCCCUGGAGCGACUCGUGGGCCUUCGUCUCCUCGCUGCCCCUCACCGACUUCACCUUCGCCCUCUCGCUGUCCCAUGACCUGCCGCUCUGCGCGGCUCACGCCGGCAGCAUCUAUGCCCUGGGCAGCGUGCAGAGGACGGGCGAGAAGCUGCUGCUGCGUUACGACGUCGGGGCAGACACAUGGCAGGAGCUGCUCCCAACGCUGACGCGAGCCGACGCUAACCUGCCCGGCCUCUAUUUCCUGGGGGGCUCAGAGCCCCUCUACGUGGUGGGGGGCAACGCCCAGGAGAACGUGGUGAUUUCCUUCAGCCCAGGGGCCCGGCUCUGGGGCCCUGCGCGGAGCCUGCCCAAGUGCACCCUGGCGGGGCAGGGCGUGGCCCUGGGCAGCCGCCUCUUCAUGGCAGCUCCGGAGCUGGGCACGGUGCUGGCACUGGAGCUGGGCUCGCUGUCCUGCUGCCCGCUGCCCGCCCCGCCCUUCCCCCUCUCCUAUGAGGCCCUCUGCUUCCUGCACUUCCCCGCGCCCCGUGGGGAGCUGGGCAGUGAGCAGGGGCAGGCGGGGGCCGGCGGGGGCACUGAGGGGCCCCUCCCCCUGGUGGGCAGGACCCCCUCGUGGUGAGCCCGGGGUUCACGCCCUGCCACGAGUGGUGUGUGGCACACGCCAGGGGAGGGGGUGCUCGUCUGCCCACUGAUGACGUGCUGGCACGUUGAGGACCCAGCACCGGUGCUGCGGCUGCUGCCCGGCGUUUGCACCUGCGGCGGGUUCUCCUCAGGCGAAGGAUGGACAGAGGCUGACACAGGAGCCUGGGGGGUCCCAAGCUCCAGGGACCCUUCGUCCGGAUCAGAGGCUGCAGUGGGGGAGGACUGGGGGGUCUCCAUAGUGCCAACCCAAUGGGGGGAGCCAACCUGGAUCCGGGGCUGGGCGUCCCUCACAAGCCUCCAGUUCCCAGGGGCACUGACCCAUGGGGGAGGAACUCGCAGGGACCCCAGGCGGGUGCUGCCUGUUCCUGGGAGGNCAUGGGGGAGGAACUCGCAGGGACCCCAGGCGGGUGCUGCCUGUUCCUGGGAGGGUAAGGGAGGGGCUAAGCCUGGUGCCUCCUUUGUUGCUGCCAUUCGCCCCCCCCGACCGCCUGCUCCCAGCCCCCUUCCUCCUUAUUUAUCAAGCUGCCCUUUCACCCACAUACCAGCUGCUAUUUCUGGGGCUGGCUCUGUGCCCAGGGCAAGCUCCCGGGGGGGCUCUGGGCUAGGCGGGGGGCAUCAUUGGGGGUGUCCCUGGGCUCAGCAGGCAGCACCGCAACCUUCCUACUGCCCAAAGCCAGGGCGGAGUGCCCCCACCCCUCCCCCACUUCUUCCAGCCCUCGCUGGGUGUGGGGUGGGGGCGGCUGGUGCCCUGUUCUCAUGGCCCAGCCUGGCAGGGAUGGGAUGGGGUGGGGUUGGGCUGUGAU